AGUGGCUCCUUCAGCAGAGAGGAGCUGACCAAGUAUCUGCUCCAUGCCAGCGCCAUCUGCUCCAAGCUGGGCCUGGCUUUCCUGCACGCCUUCCAGGAGGUCACCUUCCGCAAGCCCACCUUCUGUCACAGCUGCAACGGCUUCGUGAGCACUGGCCCUGUUAGCACCCUUGGGUCCCGUCUCCCCUUGGGCCAGUUUUUUUUUUUUUUAGGAGGGGGGGACUUCCAGAAAUGCUCCAGUGUCAGAUAUUCCACAGAGUUCAUAUAAGCACCAUACACUU
Molecule: long non-coding RNA, 280 nt
Filed under: Rattus norvegicus (Norway rat)
Lineage: Eukaryota; Metazoa; Chordata; Mammalia; Rodentia; Muridae
Description: long non-coding RNA NONRATT000572
Source: RNAcentral